This 497-nucleotide ribosomal RNA is filed under the name uncultured bacterium. RNAcentral describes it as "partial 16S ribosomal RNA". It matches the Rfam family "Bacterial small subunit ribosomal RNA", at positions 28 to 507 of the family's 1533-position model. The record is from RNAcentral.
GAUGAACGCUGGCGGCGUGCCUAAUACAUGCAAGUCGAGCGAACGGACGAGAAGCUUGCUCCUCUGAUGUUAGCGGCGGACGGGUGAGUAACACGUGGAUAACCUACCUAUAAGACUGGGAUAACUUCGGGAAACCGGAGCUAAUACCGGAUAAUAUUUUGAACCGCAUGGUUCAAAAGUGAAAGACGGUCUUGCUGUCACUUAUAGAUGGAUCCGCGCUGCAUUAGCUAGUUGGUAAGGUAACGGCUUACCAAGGCAACGAUGCAUAGCCGACCUGAGAGGGGGAUCGGCCACACGGGAACUGAGACACGGUCCAGACUCCUACGGGAGGCAGCAGUAGGGAAUCUUCCGCAAUGGGCGAAAGCCUGACGGAGCAACGCCGCGUGAGUGAUGAGGGUCUUCGGAUCGUAAAACUCUGUUUUUAGGGAAGAACAUAUGUGUAAGUAACUGUGCACAUCUUGACGGUACCUAAUCAGAAAGCCACGGCUAACUACGUG